AGAUACAGUACUUUCAUUUUCUUCUGUCUGCAACCUCCCAGGGGAACUGUAGUUACUCAUCCCUUCAAUAAAUAAUGUCUUGCAUACCUACAGUCUGCCAAGCACUAUUUUAGGUGGAUACUGGGGCAGCGGCGUAGGAGGAGUUUGGAGGCAUAUGUCUACCCAUAUACGCACAGCCUUCUGGAAGAAACCUCACAUGCAGUAAGUGCAAUAAAAUAUGCAGAUUUUAAAAAGUAACAAAAGCAGGUCAAUGAUCGCCUCGGCGAGGGGCAGGAGAGAGGGAUCAUAAAGGGACAGAGGAAAUGUUAGGUGUGAUGGAUAUGUUUGCUAUGGUGAUUGUGGUGAUGACGCCAAGGGUGUAUACAUGUGUCAAAAUGUGUCAAAUUGUAAAGUUCAGAGAUGUAAAGUUUAUUGUAUGUCAGUUAUACCUCAAUAAACCUUUUUAAAUAAGCUUGAAAUGACCGGAAAAAAGUUUCUAGCAACCACAUUAUUUCCUAAAGAAAUAACUAUGAGGAUAAUUAAGUGGUGGUGGGGCAGGGAGGUGGGUGCCUAAGAUAAAAGAAAAGUGUUAGCAUUAUUCUCUCUUUAACAGUAUUAAAAAGUUCUGUUUCUUACCCUACUAACUACAAGUGAGAAGAAACAGAUGGAACUCAAACCUUGUACCUGGUUUUCUAAAAACUCAACUUCCUCUGUCCAUAAUUGCUGUAACAUAUUUAGAAGGAAGCCAUGAUAGAAUUAAAAAUUUGCAGAAAAUAAAAACAUUCGUGUUUUAUUUUUUCUACCAAUCUGGAGAUACCGGGGAACUAAUAAUAGGUAAUUAUGGGUAACUUUUAAUCCAUGAAAAUCUAACAGUGUACCACAGGAGGCUGAAGGCAUACUGCUAUCACCUGUGUAUUUUACAAACACUUAAUGACACAGUGCAGGACAGACAUGUGCAUCCCUGCCCCACACUAUGUCCGGAUCGGAAGGAAGGAGAAAAGGAAUCGAGUCACCUAGUAGUUAGGAAACAAAAGGAUGCCUA
Molecule: long non-coding RNA, 1021 nt
Filed under: Equus asinus (donkey)
Lineage: Eukaryota; Metazoa; Chordata; Mammalia; Perissodactyla; Equidae
Description: lncRNA (ENSEASG00005031071.1)
Source: RNAcentral